This 530-nucleotide ribosomal RNA is filed under the name uncultured bacterium. RNAcentral describes it as "bacterial SSU rRNA". It matches the Rfam family "Bacterial small subunit ribosomal RNA", at positions 534 to 1059 of the family's 1533-position model. The record is from RNAcentral.
GCAAGCGUUACUCGGAAUCACUGGGCGUAAAGAGCAUGUAGGCGGGUGAAUAAGUUGGAAGUGAAAUCCUAUAGCUUAACUAUAGAACUGCUUCCAAAACUGUUCACCUAGAGUAUGGGAGAGGUAGAUGGAAUUUCUGGUGUAGGGGUAAAAUCCGUAGAGAUCAGAAGGAAUACCGAUUGCGAAGGCGAUCUACUGGAACAUUACUGACGCUCAGAUGCGAAAGCGUGGGGAGCAAACAGGAUUAGAUACCCUGGUAGUCCACGCCCUAAACGAUGUACACUAGUUGUUGCUAUACUAGAUAUGGCAGUAAUGCAGUUAACACUUUAAGUGUACCGCCUGGGGAGUACGGUCGCAAGAUUAAAACUCAAAGGAAUAGACGGGGACCCGCACAAGCGGUGGAGCAUGUGGUUUAAUUCGACGAUGCGCGAAAAACCUUACCUGGCCUUGACAUAGUAGGAAUCUUUAAGAGAUUAGAGAGUGCUAGCUUGCUAGAACCUACAUACAGGUGCUGCACGGCUGUCGUCAGC